Molecule: ribosomal RNA, 451 nt
Filed under: uncultured bacterium
Lineage: Bacteria
Description: partial 16S ribosomal RNA
Rfam family: Bacterial small subunit ribosomal RNA
Source: RNAcentral
GUGGGGAAUAUUGGACAAUGGGCGGAAGCCUGAUCCAGCCAUGCCGCGUGUGUGAAGAAGGCCUUUUGGUUGUAAAGCACUUUAAGCGAGGAGGAGGCUACCGAGAUUAAUACUCUUGGAUAGUGGACGUUACUCGCAGAAUAAGCACCGGCUAACUCUGUGCCAGCAGCCGCGGUAAUACAGAGGGUGCGAGCGUUAAUCGGAUUUACUGGGCGUAAAGCGCGCGUAGGUGGUUAAUUAAGUCAAAUGUGAAAUCCCCGAGCUUAACUUGGGAAUUGCAUUCGAUACUGGAUGGCUAGAGUAUGGGAGAGGAUGGUAGAAUUCCAGGUGUAGCGGUGAAAUGCGUAGAGAUCUGGAGGAAUACCGAUGGCGAAGGCAGCCAUCUGGCCUAAUACUGACACUGAGGUGCGAAAGCAUGGGGAGCAAACAGGAUUAGAUACCCUGGUAGUCC